This 253-nucleotide ribosomal RNA is filed under the name uncultured bacterium. RNAcentral describes it as "partial 16S ribosomal RNA". It matches the Rfam family "Bacterial small subunit ribosomal RNA", at positions 524 to 776 of the family's 1533-position model. The record is from RNAcentral.
UACAGAGACUGCAAGCGUUAUUCGGAUUCACUGGGCGUAAAGGGUGCGCAGGCGGCCAAGUGUGUGAGGCGUGAAAGCCCGGGGCUUAACUCCGGAAUUGCACCUCAAACUACAUGGCUAGAGCAUUGGAGAGGGUAGCAGAAUUCACGGUGUAGCAGUGAAAUGCGUAGAUAUCGUGAGGAAUACCAGAGGCGAAGGCGGCUACCUGGACAAUUGCUUACGCUCAGGCACGAAAGCGUGGGGAGCAAAAGGG